GAGGAAGUAAAAGUCGUAACAAGGUUUCCGUAGGUGAACCUGCGGAAGGAUCAUUACAGAAUAAACUUGAUGGGUUGUAGCUGGCUCUCUCGAGAGCAUGUGCACGCCUGUUACCUUUAUCUUUCCACCUGUGCACCCAUUGUAGACUUGGAAUUCAAAACCGUCUGAAGGCCCCCUUCAGUUUGAGGGACUGCUGCGCGCUUAAUAGGGUCAGCUUCCCUUGUGGUUCCAAGCCUAUGUUUUUCAUAUACCCCAUAGUAUGUCUCAGAAUGUAAUAAAAGGCCUCUGCGCCUAUAAACCUUAUACAACUUUCAGCAACGGAUCUCUUGGCUCUCGCAUCGAUGAAGAACGCAGCGAAAUGCGAUAAGUAAUGUGAAUUGCAGAAUUCAGUGAAUCAUCGAAUCUUUGAACGCACCUUGCGCUCCUUGGUAUUCCGAGGAGCAUGCCUGUUUGAGUGUCAUUAAAUUCUCAACCUUAUCAUCUUUGAUGGCAAGGCUUGGACUUGGGGGUUUGCGGGCUUCAAUAUUUUGAAGUCGGCUCCCCUUAAAUGCAUUAGCCGGAAAACUCUUGUGGACCGUCUAUUGGUGUGAUAAUUAUCUACGCCGUGGACUGGACUGCACUUUGUAAUGGGAUUUCUGCUUCAAACCGUCCCUAGGGGACAAUUAUUUGACCAUUUGACCUCAAAUCAGGUAGGACUACCCGCUGAACUUAAGCAUAUCA
RNAcentral lists this ribosomal RNA (720 nucleotides) under Descolea phlebophora. Its description in RNAcentral is "eukaryotic LSU rRNA". The stretch from base 307 to 460 matches the Rfam family "5.8S ribosomal RNA". Lineage: Eukaryota; Fungi; Basidiomycota; Agaricomycetes; Agaricales; Bolbitiaceae. The record is from RNAcentral.